CCUACGGGAGGCAGCAGGAGGGAAUCUGGAACAAUGGGCGAAAGCCUGAUGGAGUAAAGAAGCGGGGGUGAAGAAGGGCGGAGGAGCGGAAACCCCUGUUGUUAGAGAAGAAAGUGCGGGAGAGUAACUGUUCACGUUUCGACGGUAUCUAACCAGAAAGCACCGGCUAACUACGUGCCAGCAGCCGCGGUAAUACGUAGGGGGCAAGCGUUAUCCGGAUUUAUUGGGCGUAAAGGGAGCGCAGGCGGUCUGUUAAGUCUGAUGUGAAAGCCUUCGGCUUAAACGGAGUAGUGCGUUGGAAACUGGUAGACUUGAGUGCAGAAGAGGAGAGUGGAACUCCAUGUGUAGCGGUGAAAUGCGUAGAUAUAUGGAAGAACACCAGUGGCGAAAGCGGCUCUCUGGUCUUUAACUGACGCUGAGGUUCGAAAGCGUGGGUAGCAAACAGGAUUAGAUACCCCGGUAGUC
Molecule: ribosomal RNA, 465 nt
Filed under: uncultured bacterium
Lineage: Bacteria
Description: partial 16S ribosomal RNA
Rfam family: Bacterial small subunit ribosomal RNA
Source: RNAcentral